Non-coding RNA from Callorhinus ursinus (northern fur seal), 1439 nucleotides. The record is from RefSeq and is a predicted model, not a curated record. NCBI's taxonomy places the organism in Eukaryota, Metazoa, Chordata, Mammalia, Carnivora, Otariidae.
GCACUCCCUCGUGCUGAGCUGCUACGAAGCCCCUGCCGGCGAGCUCGUAGGAGCUUGGAACCGUUGUCACCCCUCCGUGUCUCACCAGGGGGAAAAAAUGGUUGAAGCAGAUCGCCCAGGAAAGCUUUUCAUUGGUGGCCUCAAUACAGAAACAAAUGAAAAAGCCCUUGAAGCAGUAUUUGGCAAAUAUGGACGAAUAGUGGAAGUUCUAUUGAUGAAAGAUCGUGAAACCAACAAAUCGAGAGGAUUUGCUUUUGUCACCUUUGAGAGCCCAGCAGAUGCUAAGGAUGCAGCCAGAGACAUGAAUGGAAAGUCCUUAGAUGGAAAAGCCAUCAAAGUAGAACAGGCCACUAAACCAUCAUUUGAAAGUGGUAGACGUGGACCACCUCCACCUCCAAGAAGCAGAGGCCCUCCAAGAGGUCUUAAAGGCGGAAGAGGAGGAAGUGGAGGAACCAGGGGACCUCCCUCACGUGGAGGGCACAUGGAUGAUGGUGGCUAUUCCAUGAAUUUUAACAUGAGUUCUUCCAGGGGACCACUUCCAGUAAAAAGAGGACCACCACCACGAAGUGGUGGUCCUCCUCCUAAAAGAUCUGCCCCUUCAGGACCAGUUUGCAGCAGCAGUGGAAUGGGAGGAAGAGCUCCUGUGUCACGCGGAAGAGAUAGUUAUGGAGGCCCACCUCGACGGGAACCCCUGCCGUCUCGUAGAGAUGUUUAUUUGUCCCCAAGAGAUGAUGGAUACUCUACUAAAGACAGCUAUUCAAGCAGAGAUUACCCAAGUUCUCGUGAUACAAGAGAUUAUGCACCACCACCAAGAGAUUAUACUUACCGUGAUUAUGGUCAUUCCAGUUCACGUGAUGACUACCCAUCGAGAGGCUAUAGUGAUAGAGAUGGCUAUGGUCGUGAUCGUGACUAUUCAGAUCAUCCAAGUGGAGGUUCCUACAGAGAUUCAUAUGAGAGUUAUGGUAACUCACGUAGUGCUCCACCUACACGAGGGCCCCGCCAUCUUAUGGUGGAAGCAGUCGCUAUGAUGAUUACAGCAGCUCACGUGACGGAUAUGGUGGAAGUCGAGACAGUUACUCAAGCAGCCGAAGUGAUCUCUACUCAAGUGGUCGUGAUCGGGUUGGCAGACAAGAAAGAGGGCUUCCCCCUUCUAUGGAAAGGGGGUACCCUCCUCCACGUGAUUCCUACAGCAGUUCAAGCCGCGGAGCACCAAGAGGUGGUGGCCGUGGAGGAAGCCGAUCUGAUAGAGGGGGAGGCAGAAGCAGAUAUUAAAAACAAACAAAACUUUGGACCAAAAUCCCUGUUCAAAGAAACAAACAAAAAAGUGGAACCUUUUCUGUCAUAACUACCCAAGGACUACUAAAAGGAAAAAUUGUGUUACUUUUUUUUUUUAAUUUCCUGUUAAGUUCCCCUUCCAUAAUUUUUAUGUUCUUGUGAGG